This 346-nucleotide long non-coding RNA is filed under the name Cyanoderma ruficeps (rufous-capped babbler). Its description in RNAcentral is "lncRNA (ENSCRFG00000015086.1)". The record is from RNAcentral. Lineage: Eukaryota; Metazoa; Chordata; Aves; Passeriformes; Timaliidae.
UAGGAGGACGACCCAAUCAGAACAAUCAGGAGGAAUCUGCUGAGGGAAUUUAUGUGUCAAAGAUUUUGGAAAAUGGACCUGCAGACAAAGCAGAAGGCCUGCAAAUCCAUGACAAGAUUAUUGAGCAUUCUUUUUCCAUAUUCUCCUAGUUUGAUUCCAAAUGCCAGUUGUGAUUCAUCCUGUUCACAAACUGCAUCUUCGAACCCAGAUCUAGGCUUACCAGCAUUUGGUGUUGUGAUUAAUGAAGAUUCAUGAGGGGUGACACAAUCAGCUGGGAUGCAGGUCAGGCGAAGAUGAAGAAGAGGGGGAUCUGCUCUGUCUUUUUUAAUUGCGUUGGAAACAAAUU